RNAcentral lists this ribosomal RNA (484 nucleotides) under uncultured bacterium. RNAcentral describes it as "partial 16S ribosomal RNA". It matches the Rfam family "Bacterial small subunit ribosomal RNA", at positions 30 to 507 of the family's 1533-position model. The record is from RNAcentral.
AUUGAACGCUGGCGGCAGGCCUAACACAUGCAAGUCGAGCGGAUGAAGGGAGCUUGCUCCUGGAUUCAGCGGCGGACGGGUGUGUAAUGCCUAGGAAUCUGCCUGGUAGUGGGGGAUAACGUCCGGAAACGGGCGCUAAUACCGCAUACGUCCUGAGGGAGAAAGUGGGGGAUCUUCGGACCUCACGCUAUCAGAGGAGCCUAGGUCGGAUUAGCUAGUUGGUGGGGUAAAGGCCUACCAAGGCGACGAUCCGUAACUGGUCUGAGAGGAUGAUCAGUCACACUAGAACGGAGACACGGUCCAGACUCCUACGGGAGGCAGCAGUGGGGAAUAUUGGACAAUGGGCGAAAGCCUGAUACAGCCAUGCCGCGUGUGUGAAGAAGGUCUUCGGAUUGUAAAGCACUUUAAGUUGGGAGGAAGGGCAGUAAGUUAAUACCUUGCUGUUUUGACGUUACCAACAGAAUAAGCACCGGCUAACUUCGUG